AGAGUUUGAUCAUGGCUCAGAACGAACGCUGGCGGCAGGCUUAACACAUGCAAGUCGAACGGUCUCUUCGGAGGCAGUGGCAGACGGGUGAGUAACGCGUGGGAAUCUACCCAUCUCUACGGAACAACUCCGGGAAACUGGAGCUAAUACCGUAUACGCCCUUUUGGGGAAAGAUUUAUCGGGGAUGGAUGAGCCCGCGUUGGAUUAGCUAGUUGGUGGGGUAAAGGCCUACCAAGGCGACGAUCCAUAGCUGGUCUGAGAGGAUGAUCAGCCACAUUGGGACUGAGACACGGCCCAAACUCCUACGGGAGGCAGCAGUGGGGAAUAUUGGACAAUGGGCGCAAGCCUGAUCCAGCCAUGCCGCGUGAGUGAUGAAGGUCUUAGGAUUGUAAAGCUCUUUCAACGGUGAAGAUAAUGACGGUAGCCGUAGAAGAAGCCCCGGCUAACUUCGUGCCAGCAGCCGCGGUAAUACGAAGGGGGCUAGCGUUGUUCGGAAUUACUGGGCGUAAAGCGCACGUAGGCGGAUAUUUAAGUCAGGGGUGAAAUCCCAGAGCUCAACUCUGGAACUGCCUCUGAUACUGGGUAUCUUGAGUAUGGAAGAGGUGAGUGGAAUUCCGAGUGUAGAGGUGAAAUUCGUAGAUAUUCGGAGGAACACCAGUGGCGAAGGCGGCUCACUGGUCCAUUACUGACGCUGAGGUGCGAAAGCGUGGGGAGCAAACAGGAUUAGAUACCCUAGUAGUCC
This 742-nucleotide ribosomal RNA is filed under the name uncultured bacterium. Its description in RNAcentral is "bacterial SSU rRNA". It matches the Rfam family "Bacterial small subunit ribosomal RNA", at positions 8 to 796 of the family's 1533-position model. The record is from RNAcentral.